UACGGAGGGUGCAAGCGUUAUCCGGAUUCACUGGGUUUAAAGGGUGCGUAGGCGGGCAGGUAAGUCAGUGGUGAAAUCCCCGAGCUUAACUUGGGAACUGCCGUUGAUACUAUCUGUCUUGAAUGUUGUGGAGGUGAGCGGAAUAUGUCAUGUAGCGGUGAAAUGCUUAGAUAUGACAUAGAACACCAAUUGCGAAGGCAGCUCGCUACACAAUUAUUGACUCUGAGGCACGAAAGCGUGGGGAUCAAACAGG
This 253-nucleotide ribosomal RNA is filed under the name uncultured bacterium. Its description in RNAcentral is "partial 16S ribosomal RNA". It matches the Rfam family "Bacterial small subunit ribosomal RNA", at positions 524 to 776 of the family's 1533-position model. The record is from RNAcentral.